UAACGAAUAUUGGACAAUGGGCGAAAGCCUGAUCCAGCGACGCCGCGUGCAGGAAGAAGUCCCUCGGGAUGUAAACUGCUGUCAGGGACUACCAAGCAAUGAGGGUUAAUACCCCUCUGCGUUGAGGCGUCCCAGAGGAAGCCACGGCUAACUUCGUGCCAGCAGCCGCGGUAAUACGACGGUGGCGAGCGUUGUUCGGAAUCACUGGGCUUAAAGAGCAUGUAGGCGGAUUGUCAAGCGUCUUGUGAAAGCCCGCGGCUCAACCGAGGAAUUGCAGGGCGAACUGAUAGUCUUGAGGCAGGUAGGGGCAGAUGGAACUCUUGGUGGAGCGGUGGAAUGCGUAGAUAUCAAGAGGAACGCCAGAGGCGAAGGCGAUCUGCUGGGCCUGUCCUGACGCUGAGAUGCGAAAGCCAGGGGAGCGAACG
Molecule: ribosomal RNA, 425 nt
Filed under: uncultured bacterium
Lineage: Bacteria
Description: bacterial SSU rRNA
Rfam family: Bacterial small subunit ribosomal RNA
Source: RNAcentral